Molecule: ribosomal RNA, 348 nt
Filed under: Typhamyza bifasciata
Lineage: Eukaryota; Metazoa; Arthropoda; Insecta; Diptera; Anthomyzidae
Description: partial 16S ribosomal RNA
Source: RNAcentral
CAUAAUCAUUAGUCUUUUAAUUGAAGGCUGGUAUGAAUGGUUGGAUGAAAUAUAAACUGUUUCAUUUGAAUAUUAGAAUUUUAUUUUUUAGUUAAAAAGCUAAAAUUUAAUUAAAAGACGAGAAGACCCUAUAAAUCUUUAUAUUAAAUUUAUUUUGAUUAUAUAGAUUGUUUAAAUUAUUAUAAAAAUUAAUAUUUUAUUGGGGUGAUAUUAAAAUUUAAAAAACUUUUAAUUAUAAUUUAACAUAAAUUAAUGAAUAAUUGAUCCAUUAUUAAUGAUUAAAAAUUUAAGUUACUUUAGGGAUAACAGCGUAAUUUUUUUGGAGAGUUCAUAUUGAUAAAAAAGAUU